RNAcentral lists this ribosomal RNA (465 nucleotides) under Vreelandella stevensii. RNAcentral's name for it is "partial 16S ribosomal RNA". It matches the Rfam family "Bacterial small subunit ribosomal RNA", at positions 338 to 795 of the family's 1533-position model. Lineage: Bacteria; Pseudomonadati; Pseudomonadota; Gammaproteobacteria; Oceanospirillales; Halomonadaceae. The record is from RNAcentral.
CCUACGGGCGGCUGCAGUGGGGAAUAUUGGACAAUGGGGGGAACCCUGAUCCAGCCAUGCCGCGUGUGUGAAGAAGGCCCUCGGGUUGUAAAGCACUUUCAGUGAGGAAGAACGCCUGGUGGUUAAUACCCAUCAGGAAAGACAUCACUCACAGAAGAAGCACCGGCUAACUCCGUGCCAGCAGCCGCGGUAAUACGGAGGGUGCGAGCGUUAAUCGGAAUUACUGGGCGUAAAGCGCGCGUAGGUGGCUUGAUAAGCCGGUUGUGAAAGCCCCGGGCUCAACCUGGGAACGGCAUCCGGAACUGUCAAGCUAGAGUGCAGGAGAGGAAGGUAGAAUUCCCGGUGUAGCGGUGAAAUGCGUAGAGAUCGGGAGGAAUACCAGUGGCGAAGGUGGCCUUCUGGACUGACACUGACACUGAGGUGCGAAAGCGUGGGUAGCAAACAGGAUUAGAUACCCGAGUAGUC